AUCCCAGAUCAGAUGCCAAACCCAGUGGGGAUUGGACAACAUGAUGAGCCCAAACCAAUCCACGCUGAGCUUGGCAUCUGAUUUGGGA
This is a microRNA precursor of Gorilla gorilla gorilla (western lowland gorilla), 88 nucleotides long. The record is from Ensembl. NCBI's taxonomy places the organism in Eukaryota, Metazoa, Chordata, Mammalia, Primates, Hominidae.